AACUUUUCAGAAUGUUUACCUGAAAAAAGAUUUUUUGCCUUAAAAAUCCUUUCCACUAGAGCUAUGUGCCCUUUUUACUCUGCUACUCUUGUGAUUACGUGUGGUGCUGACACAGUCAUCUCUUCACUGAAACAUCUUCAGAGUGCCGAAUAUGUGCUGUGCUGACUGAUUACGGAUGAUUUACGAUGGGUUCUGUCACAUGGGCAAAUCAAGCAAAUCAGUGAAUAACACUGCUGCUCCUGAGCUUCUAAGAGAUGCCGCCAUUUUUCCACACAUGAAGACAACACGAGUUGCCAAGAGAGAACAGUCACUCAGAG
RNAcentral lists this long non-coding RNA (317 nucleotides) under Suricata suricatta (meerkat). Its description in RNAcentral is "lncRNA (ENSSSUG00005022584.1)". Lineage: Eukaryota; Metazoa; Chordata; Mammalia; Carnivora; Herpestidae. The record is from RNAcentral.